AUAUUAAUAAGCGGAGGAAAAGAAACUAACAAGGAUUCCCUGAGUAAUGGCGAAUGAAAGGGGAACAGCUCAAGAUUGAAUCGGGUGUUCCUAACGGACACUUCGAGUUAUAAUCUGAAGAAUGUUUGUUCAUGAACAACGUGGACUCGGGCAUAAACCUUUGAAAUAAAGGUGUUCAUAUAGGGUGAGAGUCCGCCUAAAGUUAAAUACCAGCCAGAGACCGAUAGCGCACAAGUA
This 237-nucleotide ribosomal RNA is filed under the name uncultured eukaryote. Its description in RNAcentral is "partial large subunit ribosomal RNA". It matches the Rfam family "Eukaryotic large subunit ribosomal RNA", at positions 40 to 350 of the family's 3401-position model. The record is from RNAcentral.